This 253-nucleotide ribosomal RNA is filed under the name uncultured bacterium. RNAcentral's name for it is "partial 16S ribosomal RNA". It matches the Rfam family "Bacterial small subunit ribosomal RNA", at positions 524 to 776 of the family's 1533-position model. The record is from RNAcentral.
UACGAAGGGAGCUAGCGUUGUUCGGAAUCACUGGGCGUAAAGCGCACGUAGGCGGAUGUGUCAGUCAGGGGUGAAAUCCCGGAGCUCAACUUCGGAACUGCCUUUGAUACAGCACAUCUGGAGUCCGGAAGAGGUGGGUGGAAUUCCUAGUGUAGAGGUGAAAUUCGUAGAUAUUAGGAAGAACACCGGUGGCGAAGGCGGCCCACUGGUCCGGUACUGACGCUGAGGUGCGAAAGCUAGGGGAGCAAACGGG